RNAcentral lists this ribosomal RNA (264 nucleotides) under uncultured prokaryote. RNAcentral describes it as "partial 16S ribosomal RNA". It matches the Rfam family "Bacterial small subunit ribosomal RNA", at positions 524 to 788 of the family's 1533-position model. The record is from RNAcentral.
UACGUAGGGGCAAGCGUUAUCCGGAUUUACUGGGUGUAAAGGGAGCGCAGACGGAACUGCAAGUCUGAUGUGAAAGCCCGGGGCUCAACCGCGGGACUGCAUCGGAUACUGUGGAUCUGGAGUGCCGGAGGGGCAAGCGGAAUUCCUGGUGUAGCGGUGAAAUGCGUAGAUAUCAGGAGGAACACCGGCGGCGAAGGCGGCUUGCUGGACGGCAACUGACGUUGAGGCUCGGAAGCGUGGGGAGCAAACAGGAUUAGAUACCCU